Molecule: ribosomal RNA, 501 nt
Filed under: uncultured bacterium
Lineage: Bacteria
Description: partial 16S ribosomal RNA
Rfam family: Bacterial small subunit ribosomal RNA
Source: RNAcentral
AUUGAACGCUGGCGGCAGGCUUAACACAUGCAAGUCGAGCGGGGGAAGGUAGCUUGCUACCGGACCUAGCGGCGGACGGGUGAGUAAUGCUUAGGAAUCUGCCUAUUAGUGGGGGACAACAUCUCGAAAGGGAUGCUAAUACCGCAUACGUCCUACGGGAGAAAGCAGGGGAUCUGCGGCCCUUGCGCUAAUAGAUGAGCCUAAGUCGGAUUAGCUAGUUGGUGGGGUAAAGGCCUACCAAGGCGACGAACGGUAGCGGGUCUGAGAGGAUGAUCCGCCACACUGGGACUGAGACACGGCCCAGACUCCUACGGGAGGCAGCAGUGGGGAGUAUUGGACAAUGGGGGGAACCCUGAUCCAGCCAUGCCGCGUGUGUGAAGAGGGCCUUAUGGUUGUAAAGCACUUUAAGCGAGGAGGAGGCUACUCUAGUUAAUACCUAGGGAUAGUGGACGUUACUCGCAGAAUAAGCACCGGCUAACUCUGUGCCAGCCGCCGCUGUAA